GCGUGCGGCUCGGUGGCUGUCCCUUUGUUUCUGCUCAGAGGGAUGAUCUGAAGUAGUUGUCGUGUUUUAUCAUGUUUUCUUUCAUUCUCCUGAGCUUAACUAAAGAAUUACACAUUUAUUUUUUUUUUAAGACGUGGUAAAACAUUUCUGUGACUUUUUCAUAGACAUGUUUGAAUUAGAACAUGGGUACUGUGUGAAAACUGAAAAGAUUAGAUUUUGGCAAGUGCGUAACUUCAUAUAAACUAUCACUAAACUUAAUCUGUUCAAAACAUCCAGGGUGAAUGUCCCCAUCAGCCCUACAGAUACCAUUAAUUAAAGAAAACUCCUCUCAAAUGCAUCAGUAUUGCUUGUGGGACUAAAUGCAGUGACAGGAUUGAACAUCACCAAUGGGACUACCCCAGAUUUGGUUUUUAUUUCAAAGUAACCUAGAGUUCAAGGAAAGUCAAACUAAAAAGUAUGUACCAGUUGCCUCCCUGCACCACGCUGUUGAUUAGAAGAGGCCCUUUUGACAGAUUUCAGCUGGUGACACACACGUUCCUAUCAUCCAAGGCUAUUCCUGUGCUGGUUUCUGAAGCGUUGCUGCCAUAUCAGGAAUAAAUAAUAUUUGUACCGCUAAAUACUCAUUAUAAAACAUGGAGAGACUGUCCUGGCCCACUACGGCAUCGUGUAUACAUGAAGUUAGACAACCUGUUUUUUCCAGUACGUCCAAUCUGUGAUUGCCUAUAGACUUACAAAGAGCUUUUCCCACCCUCCAGCUUAGCAGUUCAUUACUGCUCAUUGCUUUUAUUUACUUUUGGAUGAAAUUAAGUCAGCCAGUUCUCUCUCCCUCCAGAAAUGCUCCCUAGGGAGGGUGCCAGGUCAGCCUGUUGCUCUCCUGGCCUUGCGCACCCACACAAAGACCUGCCACACCUGAGCUGGGGACCCCAAGGUGCACAGCUGGCUGCAUCUGGGCAGUUGUUGGUUAGGACAUUGGAGUCCAGCUCUGGUGUUAUUGCUGUGGGUUACACUUCCAUGCGACUAGAGUCCCACAGCCUAUGUUAAUUCAUAAAGUUCAGAUAAUCUCAUUAAUUUAAUGAAUCGCUAUCGGAGGACCUCUUCGAAUUGUCCAUAAAAAGCAAUUCCAUGACUGUGCCUCAGUAAUACCUUCAGUUUAGUUAACACUGUUGAUCUCAUUCAGUGUCUAGACUGAUAAGGGGAAUAUAAGCUUUUAGGCUUAUAUGUAGUGUAUAUAUAUGUAUUUAUAUAUCCAUAUAUAUGUCUUGUCUGUGUGAUAGAAAAAUGAUAAUUUCACCUGUUAUGGAUUGAAAACCAGCUGCUGGUCGUACACAACAGGAGACACUGGUGGUGGCUGAAAGAGGGAGUGUGAAUCCAGCACUGAAAUGUGCUGUUCAAAUCCCAUUUACAGCACUAGAGAAAAAACACGACGUGCCUGAAAGCAAACAGGGCUUCACCUUCAUGAGUCCCAUAAUUGUACAGUAAAACUGCAACAUUUUAGGGAAGGCCAUGGAGAAUAGCUUUUCCAUUAAAACUGGAAGGGGAAUGGCGGGGGGCAGAGUAGAAUAACCUGGGCCUGGGUCUCCUUGGUGCUAACUCUGCUUUCAGCCUGCUUCUGCAACUUUUCCUCCUCUUCUUUUCCGUGCGCAGUCUGAGCUCGCUGGCAGCCCCGUUUAGUUGCUGCUGGAAAGGCAGGGAGCAGGUAAGGAUGCAGACACAGGAGGCAGGCAGCGCCUCUGGGAUUUGGCAGCUUUUGCAAACUUAAGAAAUUCUGAGAGCCGUGAAUUUCCCCGUAAUUGCCCAUAUUUGCCAGAGCUGAGGCCGUUUCCCAAACCUCCUUCUUCUCCAGCUGCCAGCAGUGAUCACUGAUAUUUGCCUAACGAUCACUUUUUUCCAGGAGAGGUGGUGCCAGCACCGUUCC
Molecule: long non-coding RNA, 1915 nt
Organism: Aquila chrysaetos chrysaetos
Lineage: Eukaryota; Metazoa; Chordata; Aves; Accipitriformes; Accipitridae
Exons: 2
Source: RefSeq, a predicted model, not a curated record